Molecule: long non-coding RNA, 3326 nt
Organism: Canis lupus familiaris (dog)
Lineage: Eukaryota; Metazoa; Chordata; Mammalia; Carnivora; Canidae
Exons: 4
Source: RefSeq, a predicted model, not a curated record
AGCUCAUUCACAUGCAAAUCUCCCCAGGGACUGGGAGGCUGGGCCUCAGACCGUUGAGAGCUGGAAAACAGUCCCAGGACAAGAAAACACAGCAGUGUUGUGUUCUUCUGUGGCAGAGGCAGCCUGGUUCAAGUUACCCAUGGCCAGUCCUGGUCCACAAGCAAGAUGAUCCUCCUUCUGACAUAUGGUCCAAAGGUCAGUAAUAGCCUAAUGCUACAUCAUAGUGCUUAUGGCACUCACCUUGCUUCAUCUCAUCACAUAGACAUUUUAUCAUCUCAGUACCAUCAGAAGAAGGGAAUUCUCUGAGGAUCUUGGAACCUGUCCACUGGGGAUAAGCAGGCAUUACUGUAAUGCUCAUACUUUACUAAUCGGCAAGUUGUUUCUCCCUACCCAGACGCAUAGGAAGACAGAAAGUUUCAGAGAGACUAUGUCAACAAGAAGAUGGUUGAUGUGUAGAGCUCAGGCCUUCUGACCCCGGAUCCAGGACUCUUUCCCCUCAUCUACAGGCUCGGGAUCCUGCCUAUGGAUUUUGAACAUCCAUGAGCCAUGCUAUCUUGUGUCUGCAAGAUUGCAGGGAAGGAAAAAUAAUUUCUAUUAGAAAAUAAACUACUAGGCUCUGUUAUAGGCUGUACUGUAUCUUUUCAGAAUUCAUAUGUUGAAGCCCUAACCUUACCCAGGACCUCAGAAUGUGACAAUUUGGAAAUAGAGUCUUUGAGAGGUGAUUAAGUUAAAAUGGGGCCCUGAUCUGAUGUCAUUUGUGUCCUUAUAGUAAGAGGAGAUUAGGACACAGACAACACAGAAAAAAAGACCACGUGAGAAAACAGUGAGAAAAUGGCUAUCUGCAAGCCAAGGAGAGAUACCUCAAAAGAGCAUUUUGACCUUGAACUUUAAAACACAUGCCAACAUCUUGAUUUUGAAGUGCUAAUCUCCAAAACUAUAAGAAAAUAAAUUUCUGCUGUUUUACUCCCCAGUCUGUGGUACUUUGCCAUAGCCUAGCAAAGCCCUAGCAAACUGACACAAGCUCUCUUACGCAAAGUUCCUGAAAAGCAUGAAACACAUGUCCCCCAGGGGUGUCAGGCUGAUGUCAAGUGCCACACACAUGGAAUUAAAAAAUACUGAGUUAAUUAAUAUUCUGGUAAAUAAUAUUUGGUAAAUAAUAAAAGAGACCUUCACUAAUGCUCGAAUAGAAUUUAUUUUCCUCACAUAGCAGGAAGUGAGGAGGAACAUAGGUCUGGGGUAGCUGCUUGACAUUGUUUUCUUGUUUUCUGCUCCGCCAGCCAUAGUAUAUGGGUUUCAUCCUCAUGCUUGCCACUUCAUGGUCACCAAAAGGCUGCUGUAACUCCAGAUGUCAAGUCCACAUUCAAAACAUAAAAAAAUGAGGAAGAAAAAAAGGGGACUGGGGGACUUCUCCUAAUGUCUCACAGACCAGAGCUGGGUCACAUGGCCACCACUAACUGGAAAGGAGACUGUGAAGUCUGUUUCUUACUUUUACAGCUUUAUAGAGCAGAGCCAGGUGGCAAGGAAGACAGGGAUUAGAAAUGGAAAUUGCAUGAGUCAACCUUCAAUAUCUGUCACCACCAUAUGCCAAGAAAGUCCUGCCUUUUUCAUUUCUCUUUCACUCCUGAUAUUGUUGAGAAGAAAAUCUCAAGGUGAUGCCAUUAUGCCACUGAUGCUCAUUCUCAUUUAAUAAGGAAAGACUGGUCUCAAAUUCAGAGUCUUGAAGAGGCAAUAUUAUUCUGCUAGCAUUUAACAAUUUUUACUCAUUAUUUUUAUUUUUAUAUUUAGAGUAGCAACAUACUUUCAAAUAUAUGGAUUUCAGUUAAAAAAACAAAUCCAGAGUAAAAUAAAAAUAUGAAAUAAAUAAUAAUAACACAGAUGAUAUUCAUGGAUACAAAAAAUUUAUAAAUGUAAGUGACUAAAUAUUGGAAACAUUGUUCUAGAGGGUGGACACGGUAAAAGCAGCUCAGCACUUUGGAAUAGGACUGGCCUAUGAGUCAGUAUGCUGGGGAUGGGGGUCACAUUCCGCCCCAAUCUCCUGUGAAGCUUUGUUUCCAGGAAGAAUGUUUUCAUCCUGAAAACAACUGACGAAGGCCAUGCAUUAUUAUCUGUAUUUUACAUAAAUGAUUAAUAAUAUUGAAAUGAGGUCGUUGAGUCCUAGUGGAGAGAAAUGUGUUGCCCAGGGUCUCAUUGAAAUUAGAUGGUGGGCUGAGACCAUGAAUCAGAGUUCCCUACUCCCAUGUUAUUUCCUGUUAGGUUGUUGGUCACUCUAUUUGAGAAUGAGUACUUUGAAAAGAAAACUUACUUGUUUUUCUGAAGGCACCAAAUGAUCCUUGCCUGGCCAACACAGCUGGCUCUCCAUGACACAUUUUUAUCGAACAAGGAGGUUGAUGAGGUGUUUUGACCUCUCUUGAAGAGCAAAAUCUUCAUGCUUCCUCAGCUGCCAGUAGGCUUAUAGCUUCUAGAAUCUACUUUGGUAGCUGUGUAAGAGAGGACACCUCUCUCCUUUUCCCACUUUUCAGCCUAUCCUGAUUCCCACCUCUUUCCUUAUGCUUCAGGCCAUAAUCUAAGCUUAUUAGUGGGCAGUGGAAGUAAAUCAACUGGCCAUACACAUCAGCUUCUCUUGCUUUUUUGCUUUAUUUCAUUCAAUGAAAAAAAUAUCUGGGAACUAGCCUUCUUUGGGUCUUCUGGCUCUCUCUUUGCUCUACUUUCUCCAUGCACCUGGCCAAAGAGUGAUAGGGGAGGAUAUUAGGAUUUAAGCUCUGGCAGGCAGUGGGCAUGCUCUUUUUAAGCUUCUGAUCAAAGGAGGUCUUGUCAUGGAGCCAUUGAGCUCCAGCUUUACUGGACACCCCAAGUCUGUGGAGCCAGGUACUAGCCUAGCUGGUAACACAGGGUACCUGGUUUUCUGUUUGGUAAUUGGUCCUCAUGGUGAUCUUGCAGAAGGAGGGGUGAUGUGUAAGGAAUGAUCCUGGGAUUCUUAAAUAUUUGAGACAUAUACCAUCUGUUUAGGUUGAACUGUGUCCUUCCCAAACUCAUAUGUUGAUGUUCUAGAAUAUGAUUCAAGGAGAGGGAUCUCAAGAGAACCCAAAUCUCAGAAUAUGAUUAUAAGGAGAGAGGUCUCAAAAGAACCCGAACCUGCCAACACCUUGAUCUUAGACUUCUAGCCUCCAGAACUGUGAGAAAAUAGAUUUCUGCUGUGCAAGUAACCCAGUCUGGUAUUUUGUUAUGGCAGUCCUCGGAAACUAAUACACCUUCCAUAUUUCCCAUACCUUUGCUCACCUAAAUCCAUUUUAUAGCAACUAUAGUUGCUAUUUACUCACAUUAUGUCU